RNAcentral lists this ribosomal RNA (373 nucleotides) under uncultured organism. RNAcentral's name for it is "partial 16S ribosomal RNA". It matches the Rfam family "Bacterial small subunit ribosomal RNA", at positions 527 to 896 of the family's 1533-position model. The record is from RNAcentral.
GAGGGGUGCAAGCGUUAUUCGGAAUCAUUGGGCGUAAAGGGUGCGUAGACGGCAUGCUAAGUUACUUGUUAAAUCCUUCGGCUCAACCGAAGUACAGCGAGUAAAACUGGCAAGCUAGAGGGUGGAAGAGAGAAGUGGAAUUCUCGGAGUAGCGGCAAAAUGCGUAGAUCUCGAGAGGAACACCGAUGGCGAAGGCAGCUUCUUGGUCCACACCUGACGUUGAGGCACGAAAGCGUGGGGAGCAAACAGGGAUUAGAUACCCUGGUAGUCCACGCUGUAAACGUUGAUCACUAGACGUUAGUUCUGGUUUUCCGGGAUUAGUGUCGAAGCUAACGCGAUAAGUGAUCCGCCUGGGGAUACGGUCGCAAGGCUA